This is a long non-coding RNA of Boleophthalmus pectinirostris (great blue-spotted mudskipper), 723 nucleotides long. RefSeq lists it as uncharacterized. The transcript is spliced from 2 exons. The record is from RefSeq and is a predicted model, not a curated record. Lineage: Eukaryota; Metazoa; Chordata; Actinopteri; Gobiiformes; Gobiidae.
UUGGAUGUUCUACUUGUUUGGAUGUUCUACUUGUUUGGAUGUUCUACUUGUUUGGAUGUUCUACUUGUGCCUCAUGUUCCUUUAAGCCCCGGAGGUCACUUCCCUGUCUCCUCCUCCUCCUCACUGUGGUUCAUGUUCAGCUCUGCGUCAGGGACAAAUCUGUCAACUGGAGCAUUUUUCAGAUUUCAAACUGUCUCUUCCUCAUCGGUGGGUUAAAUGCACAAGCACCACGUGAUUUACAACACAGGAUGUUUAUACAAGUCUAGAAAUAUGUUUUAUGAAGCCAAGUUGUAUUUUGAAGUUAUUCUGUUGUUAUAAACGAUCUGUUACCUGCCGUUACCUGCUAACGGCGGUAGCUCUUCCAGUGUUUGUCUGUAAAUGUUUAUAAACCGUGUUUUAGUUUAUUAAUGUGAAGUUUACUGCUGUGUACGACUAGAAUCUGUCAUUUCAAGUUCUGCUGAUACAAGAGACUGAUUAGAGCAGCACAUGAAAAUACGUUUGUGUUUGGUCAAGUUCAGGGUUAUUUAUAUUAACUUGUUUUUCUUUUGUACAAAACCUGUAACAGAUAAUAUAGGAAAUAAGUGUGUAAAGACUAAAGUAUUAGUGCAGAGUCAUAGAGCAGAAGCAGCACAGUUCAGUGUAAACUGUUAACGGUCAGACCCCAUGACUCAGCAGAGCUGUUUUUCUGUCCUUACACAAUUAAAGUUGUUCUGUUUCACCAAA